AGAGCGAACGUUAGCGGCGGGCCUAACACAUGCAAGUCGAGCGAGAAAGAGGGGCAACCCUUGAGUACAGCGGCGGACGGGUGAGGAACACGUAGGUAAUCUGCCCUUCGAUGGAGGACAACGGUCCGAAAGGACCGCUAAUACUGCAUACGUUCUCCGGGCCCUCGGGCCUGGAGAGGAAAGCCUCGCAAGGGGCGUCGGAGGAGGAGCCUGCGUCGCAUCAGCUAGUUGGUGGGGUAAUGGCCUACCAAGGCGAAGACGCGUAGCUGGUCUGAGAGGAUGAUCAGCCACACUGGGACUGAGACACGGCCCAGACUCCUACGGGAGGCAGCAGUGGGGAAUAUUGGACAAUGGGCGAAAGCCUGAUCCAGCCACGCCGCGUGAGUGAUGAAGGCCGUUCGGUACGUAAAGCGUCUGGUGGGAGGAACGAACGGAACGGUCGAAGAGACCGGAAGUGGACGUACCUCCUUAGCAAGCCACCGGCUAACUUCGUGCCAGCAGCCGCGUAAUC
Molecule: ribosomal RNA, 511 nt
Filed under: uncultured soil bacterium
Lineage: Bacteria
Description: bacterial SSU rRNA
Rfam family: Bacterial small subunit ribosomal RNA
Source: RNAcentral